RNAcentral lists this unclassified non-coding RNA (319 nucleotides) under Hevea brasiliensis (rubber tree). The record is from RNAcentral. Lineage: Eukaryota; Viridiplantae; Streptophyta; Magnoliopsida; Malpighiales; Euphorbiaceae.
AGCCGCCUUCCAACGGUAUAGAAACUUUGCGUAAAUACUUACUGAUGUUUUAAAUAUUUCUCCAUUACCGGGUGUUGUCCUAGAUUGAUUUAUGUGUCCACCAAGAAGGAAUAGUUCCUUUCUGUGAUCUGUAAUGCAUGAACUAUUUAAACUGAAUUUAGAUGUUUGAUGAUCAGUUGAUUAAUUAUUGGCAACACCUGUGAAGCAUAGAAAUGCAUCUGGAGCAGUACUUCAACGUUUCUGAUGUGUUUCUGAAACGGAAACUCUUGGAUGCAUAUGAUAUGUCCCUGGACCUUUUUUGCAGUUUGUGAAAAAUUGG